RNAcentral lists this ribosomal RNA (1339 nucleotides) under Staphylococcus aureus W85837. RNAcentral describes it as "bacterial LSU rRNA". It matches the Rfam family "Bacterial large subunit ribosomal RNA", at positions 1582 to 2925 of the family's 2925-position model. The record is from RNAcentral. Lineage: Bacteria; Bacillati; Bacillota; Bacilli; Caryophanales; Staphylococcaceae.
GUCUUCGAGUCGUUGAUUUCACACUGCCGAGAAAAGCCUCUAGAUAGAAAAUAGGUGCCCGUACCGCAAACCGACACAGGUAGUCAAGAUGAGAAUUCUAAGGUGAGCGAGCGAACUCUCGUUAAGGAACUCGGCAAAAUGACCCCGUAACUUCGGGAGAAGGGGUGCUCUUUAGGGUUAACGCCCAGAAGAGCCGCAGUGAAUAGGCCCAAGCGACUGUUUAUCAAAAACACAGGUCUCUGCUAAACCGUAAGGUGAUGUAUAGGGGCUGACGCCUGCCCGGUGCUGGAAGGUUAAGAGGAGUGGUUAGCUUCUGCGAAGCUACGAAUCGAAGCCCCAGUAAACGGCGGCCGUAACUAUAACGGUCCUAAGGUAGCGAAAUUCCUUGUCGGGUAAGUUCCGACCCGCACGAAAGGCGUAACGAUUUGGGCACUGUCUCAACGAGAGACUCGGUGAAAUCAUAGUACCUGUGAAGAUGCAGGUUACCCGCGACAGGACGGAAAGACCCCGUGGAGCUUUACUGUAGCCUGAUAUUGAAAUUCGGCACAGCUUGUACAGGAUAGGUAGGAGCCUUUGAAACGUGAGCGCUAGCUUACGUGGAGGCGCUGGUGGGAUACUACCCUAGCUGUGUUGGCUUUCUAACCCGCACCACUUAUCGUGGUGGGAGACAGUGUCAGGCGGGCAGUUUGACUGGGGCGGUCGCCUCCUAAAAGGUAACGGAGGCGCUCAAAGGUUCCCUCAGAAUGGUUGGAAAUCAUUCAUAGAGUGUAAAGGCAUAAGGGAGCUUGACUGCGAGACCUACAAGUCGAGCAGGGUCGAAAGACGGACUUAGUGAUCCGGUGGUUCCGCAUGGAAGGGCCAUCGCUCAACGGAUAAAAGCUACCCCGGGGAUAACAGGCUUAUCUCCCCCAAGAGUUCACAUCGACGGGGAGGUUUGGCACCUCGAUGUCGGCUCAUCGCAUCCUGGGGCUGUAGUCGGUCCCAAGGGUUGGGCUGUUCGCCCAUUAAAGCGGUACGCGAGCUGGGUUCAGAACGUCGUGAGACAGUUCGGUCCCUAUCCGUCGUGGGCGUAGGAAAUUUGAGAGGAGCUGUCCUUAGUACGAGAGGACCGGGAUGGACAUACCUCUGGUGUACCAGUUGUCGUGCCAACGGCAUAGCUGGGUAGCUAUGUGUGGACGGGAUAAGUGCUGAAAGCAUCUAAGCAUGAAGCCCCCCUCAAGAUGAGAUUUCCCAACUUCGGUUAUAAGAUCCCUCAAAGAUGAUGAGGUUAAUAGGUUCGAGGUGGAAGCAUGGCGACAUGUGGAGCUGACGAAUACUAAUCGAUCGAAGACUUAAUCAA